This 253-nucleotide ribosomal RNA is filed under the name uncultured bacterium. Its description in RNAcentral is "partial 16S ribosomal RNA". It matches the Rfam family "Bacterial small subunit ribosomal RNA", at positions 524 to 776 of the family's 1533-position model. The record is from RNAcentral.
UACGGGGGGGGCAAGCGUUGUUCGGAAUUACUGGGCGUAAAGGGCUCGUAGGCGGCCAACUAAGUCAGACGUGAAAUCCCUCGGCUUAACCGGGGAACUGCGUCUGAUACUGGUUGGCUUGAAUCCGGGAGAGGGAUGUGGAAUUCCAGGUGUAGCGGUGAAAUGCGUAGAUAUCUGGAGGAACACCGGUGGCGAAGGCGGGUCUCUGGGCCGAUACUGACGCUGAGGAGCGAAAGCGUGGGGAGCAAACAGG